CUAAGAAUCUUCCGCAAUGGACGAAAGUCUGACGGAGCGACGCCGCGUGGGUGAUGAAGGCCGUGAGGUUGUAAAGCCCUUUUCUGCUUGAGGCGGUAGGGCAGGAAUAAGCCCGGCUAAUUACGUGCCAGCAGCCGCGGUAACACGUAUGGGGCGAGCGUUGUUCGGAAUUAUUGGGCGUAAAGGGCGCGUAGGCGGGUUUGCAAGUCUGGUGUGAAAGACCGCAGCUUAACUGCGGAGGCGCGCUAGAAACUGUAAAUCUUGAAUCCUGGAGGGGAGCUGGAAUUCCUGAUGUAGGGGUGAAAUCUGUAGAUAUCAGGAAGAACACCGGUGGCGAAGGCGAGCUCCUGGCCGUGGAUUGACGCUGAGGCGCGAAAGCGUGGGGAGCAAACAGGAUUAGAUACCCCGGUAGU
RNAcentral lists this ribosomal RNA (413 nucleotides) under uncultured bacterium. RNAcentral's name for it is "bacterial SSU rRNA". It matches the Rfam family "Bacterial small subunit ribosomal RNA", at positions 355 to 794 of the family's 1533-position model. The record is from RNAcentral.